GGCAAACUCACCUGGCACCAGUGGACUGCUUGAUCCCUAGAAGAUUAGCCACCACACAGCACACCAGUUUGAGGGCCUCAGAUCCACAAAGGAACCUGGUGAGGCCCAGGAACCAACUCAGGGAACACUGCCCCUCAGACUGUUUGGCACCACCUUGUCAACAGGUGUGAUCAACAGUAAGGAAACAUGCAGUGCCAGUGCUCCCAUUCUGGUCCAGCAUGAGAACCCACUACUGAAAAGAUGGCACUCACAGCAUCAGGCAGGCUGCCAUGAAAUCGUCCUUCCUUGGCACCGGUGCCCAUGGCAUCCAUUAACCUUCCAGUUGUCCGUCCUGUAAAUGAUGAAUGGGAUCAAGUGUGAGCUGAAAAUGCAAGGGUGAACAUUAGGG
This is a long non-coding RNA of Suricata suricatta (meerkat), 388 nucleotides long. RefSeq lists it as uncharacterized. Lineage: Eukaryota; Metazoa; Chordata; Mammalia; Carnivora; Herpestidae. The record is from RefSeq and is a predicted model, not a curated record. The transcript is spliced from 3 exons.